AAGGGAGACCUAAUUCCGGUAGGAGACGAAAAAAAAGUAGUCCCUACCAAGAAUCAAUCCCAAAAGGUCGAAGCGAGGCAAGAUUGGCUUUCAAACUAGGUUCUGGGUUCAAACAAGACCUGAAUCAGGAACAAGGGCUAUUAGCUCAGGUGGUUAGAGCGCACCCCUGAUAAGGGUGAGGUCCCUGGCUCGAGUCCAGGAUGGCCCACCUGCACAGGUGGCAAAAACAAAGAAGCGAGGAAUCAGCACCUUAUCUUACUCAUAUAGUAAGAGAGAAUGCUGGCUCUGAGUAAAGAGUCCAGAGGAACCUUGAAAACUGCAUAGAGCUAGGUGAAAAAGCCAAAAAAGAAGACCGCAA
This 358-nucleotide transfer RNA is filed under the name uncultured Microcystis sp. RNAcentral's name for it is "partial 16S-23S ribosomal RNA intergenic spacer". The stretch from base 135 to 208 matches the Rfam family "tRNA". The record is from RNAcentral. Lineage: Bacteria; Bacillati; Cyanobacteriota; Cyanophyceae; Chroococcales; Microcystaceae.